This 799-nucleotide ribosomal RNA is filed under the name uncultured cyanobacterium. RNAcentral's name for it is "bacterial SSU rRNA". It matches the Rfam family "Bacterial small subunit ribosomal RNA", at positions 79 to 909 of the family's 1533-position model. Lineage: Bacteria; Bacillati; Cyanobacteriota. The record is from RNAcentral.
AGAGUUUUUAACUCAAGUGGCGGACGGGUGAGUAACACGUAAGAAUUUACCUUUAGGAGGGGGAUAACAACUGGAAACGGUUGCUAAUACCCCAUAUGCUUUCGAGUGAAACGGAUUUCCGCCUAAAGAGAAGCUUGCGGCUGAUUAGCUUGUUGGUGGGGUAAUAGCCUACCAAGGCGACGAUCAGUAUCUGGUUUGAGAGGACGAUCAGACACACUGGAACUGAGACACGGUCCAGACUCCUACGGGAGGCAGCAGUAGGGAAUUUUCCGCAAUGGGCGAAAGCCUGACGGAGCAAUACCGCGUGAGGGAUGACUGCCUAUGGGUUGUAAACCUCUUUUUUCAGGGAGGAAUCAAUGACGUGUACCUGAAGAAUAAGCAUCGGCUAACUCCGUGCCAGCAGCCGCGGUAAGACGGAGGAUGCAAGUGUUAUCCGGAAUCACUGGGCGUAAAGCGUCUGUAGGUGGCCUAAUAAGUCAACUGUUAAAUCUUGGAGCUCAACUUCAAAAUCGCAGUCGAAACUAUUAGACUAGAGUAUAGUAGAGGUAAAGGGAAUUUCCAGUGGAGCGGUGAAAUGCGUAGAGAUUGGAAAGAACACCGAUGGCGAAGGCACUUUACUGGGCUAUGACUGACACUCAGAGACGAAAGCUAGGGUAGCAAAUGGGAUUAGAUACCCCAGUAGUCCUAGCCGUAAACAAUGGAUACUAGGUGUUGAACAGGUUAACCUGUGCAGUACUAAAGCUAACGCGUUAAGUAUCCCGCCUGGGAAGUAUGCUCGCAAGAGUGAAACUCAAAGGAA